Molecule: long non-coding RNA, 494 nt
Filed under: Mustela putorius furo (domestic ferret)
Lineage: Eukaryota; Metazoa; Chordata; Mammalia; Carnivora; Mustelidae
Description: lncRNA (ENSMPUG00000030187.1)
Source: RNAcentral
CACGUUCGUUUUCUACAGGCCACGCUGCCUUGGCACACGUGUGAGUGCACACAAACCCCAGCUUGGCUCGGACGCAGCGUUUCCACCCGGGAUGCGUUUCUCCCCGCCAGGAAAAGGGAGCAGAGGGAACCGAUAAAGUAUGCAGGGAAGUUUAAGACAGUGGCAGAAAUGCCAGCUAAGGAAUCCCCCGAGGAGAAGAAGCCACACGGAACUGGACAUCAAAGGGAAAAACCCCAGGGAAGAUGAAAAGGGAGAUCAUUGUGAGAAAACUAAGAUGGUAGAACCAGGAUUCAAACCUGACGUCUGACUCCAGAGCCCGCCUUCUUAAUCGUCCACCGUUCUUCCUCUUGCUGCUAUCACCUCAGUGGUAUGUAGGCGAAAUAUACUCCAGGACUUUAUCUUCUUGGGUCAUCAAAAGGACAAAAACACAAAAUACAAAAAUACAAAAUACAAAACACAAAAAUACAAAAUACAAAAAUGUGUGUAUGUCUGGA